Molecule: ribosomal RNA, 602 nt
Filed under: uncultured Streptococcus sp.
Lineage: Bacteria; Bacillati; Bacillota; Bacilli; Lactobacillales; Streptococcaceae
Description: bacterial SSU rRNA
Rfam family: Bacterial small subunit ribosomal RNA
Source: RNAcentral
GACGAACGCUGGCGGCGUGCCUAAUACAUGCAAGUAGAACGCUGAAGAGAGGAGCUUGCUCUUCUUGGAUGAGUUGCGAACGGGUGAGUAACGCGUAGGUAACCUGCCUGGUAGCGGGGGAUAACUAUUGGAAACGAUAGCUAAUACCGCAUAAAAUUGAUUAUUGCAUGAUAAUCCAUUGAAAGGUGCAACUGCACCACUACCAGAUGGACCUGCGUUGUAUUAGCUAGUUGGUGGGGUAACGGCUCACCAAGGCGACGAUACAUAGCCGACCUGAGAGGGUGAUCGGCCACACUGGGACUGAGACACGGCCCAGACUCCUACGGGAGGCAGCAGUAGGGAAUCUUCGGCAAUGGACGGAAGUCUGACCGAGCAACGCCGCGUGAGUGAAGAAGGUUUUCGGAUCGUAAAGCUCUGUUGUAAGAGAAGAACGAGUGUGAGAGUGGAAAGUUCACACUGUGACGGUAUCUUACCAGAAAGGGACGGCUAACUACGUGCCAGCAGCCGCGGUAAUCCGUAGGUCCCGAGCGUUGUCCGGAAUUAUUGGGGGGAAAGCGAGCGCAGCGGGUAAAUAAGUCUGAAUUUUAAGGGUUGUCGGCUUA